RNAcentral lists this ribosomal RNA (451 nucleotides) under uncultured bacterium. RNAcentral describes it as "bacterial SSU rRNA". It matches the Rfam family "Bacterial small subunit ribosomal RNA", at positions 19 to 518 of the family's 1533-position model. The record is from RNAcentral.
CUGGCUCAGAACGAACGCUGGCGGCAGGCUUAACACAUGCAAGUCGAGCGCCCGCAAGGGGAGCGGCAGACGGGUGAGUAACGCGUGGGAAUUUGCCCUAUGGUACGGAAUAACUCAGGGAAACUUGAGCUAAUACCGUAUGUGUCCUUCGGGAGAAAGAUUUAUCGCCAUAGGAUGAGCCCGCGUCCGAUUAGCUAGUUGGUGUGGUAAUGGCGCACCAAGGCGACGAUCGGUAGCUGGUCUGAGAGGAUGAUCAGCCACACUGGGACUGAGACACGGCCCAGACUCCUACGGGAGGCAGCAGUGGGGAAUAUUGGACAAUGGGCGCAAGCCUGAUCCCAGCCAUGCCGCGUGAGUGAUGAAGGCCUUAGGGUUGUAAAGCUCUUUCGCCCGCGAGGAUAAUGACGGUAGCGGGAUAAGAAGCCCCGGCUAACUUCGUGCCAGCCGCUGC